CUGACACAGGGAGGUAGUGACAAGAAAUAUCAAUAGAGGGCAUUUAUAUGUCUUCUAAUUGGAAUGAGAACAAGGUAAACAGCUUAUCGAGGAUCCAGCAGAGGGCAAGUCUGGUGCCAGCAGCCGCGGUAAUUCCAGCUCUGUAAGCGUAUACCAAAGUUGUUGCAGUUAAAACGCUCGUAGUCGGAUUUUGGCGUGGCCCGUGCUGUGCGCGUAGUGCGUGCGGCGCUGGGACGCGCUUUUGUGGAGGGCGGCGCGUUGUGGCUUCACUGUCGCGGCGUGUCGGCGCCACCGUUUACUGUGAAAAAAUUAGAGUGUUCAAAGCAGGCGUUUGCCGUGAAUACAUUAGCAUGGAAUAAUAGAAUAGGACUUGGUUUCUAUUUUGUUGGUUUGUGAGAGCCGAGUAAUGAUUAAGAGGGACGGUUGGGGGCAUUUGUAUUCCAGCGUCAGAGGUGAAAUUCUUGGAUUGCUGGAAGACAAACCGCUGCGAAAGCGUCUGCCAAGGACGUUUUCAUUGAUCAAGAACGAAAGUAAGGGGAUCGAAGACGAUCAGAUACCGUCGUAGUCUUUACUAUAAACGAUGAGAACUGGGGAUCGGGCGGGCAUUACGAAGACCCGUCCGGAACCCUCCGGGAAACCAAAGUGUUUGCUUUCUGGGGGGAGUAUGGUCGCAAGGCUGAAACUUAAAGGAAUUGACGGAAGGGCAUCACCGGGUGUGGAGCCUGCGGCUUAAUUUGACUCAACACGGGAAAACUUACCAGGUCCGGACAUAGUGAGGAUUGACAGAUUGAGAGCUCUUUCUUGAUUCUAUGGUUGGUGGUGCAUGGCCGUUCUUAGUUGGUGGAGUGAUUUGUCUGGUUAAUUCCGUUAACGAGCGAGACCUGGGCGUGCUAACUAGGGGCCGCUACAUUUUUGUAGCUGCUUGUCCCUUCUUAGACGGACUGCGGGCGUCUAGUCCGCGGAAGCUCCAGGCAAUAACAGGUCUGAGAUGCCCUUAGAUGUUCUGGGCCGCACGCGCGCUACACUGAGCGGACCAACGGGUGAGGAUGCGCGAGAGCGUUUCCCAAUCCCCAAAUCCGCUCGUGCUGGGGAUAGAGGCUUGCAAUUUUCCCUCUUGAACGAGGAAUACCUUGUAAGCGUGGGUCAUCAGCCCGCGCUGAAUACGUCCCUGCCCUUUGUACACACCACCCGUCGCUCCUACCGAUUGAGUGAUCCGGUGAGGCUUUGGGACCGCUGCGAUCGGAGCGUCUACGCUCUGGCCGCGGUGGAAACUUAUCCGAACCUUAUCACUUAGAGGAAGGAGAA
Molecule: ribosomal RNA, 1305 nt
Filed under: uncultured marine eukaryote
Lineage: Eukaryota
Description: SSU rRNA
Rfam family: Eukaryotic small subunit ribosomal RNA
Source: RNAcentral